Molecule: ribosomal RNA, 261 nt
Filed under: uncultured bacterium
Lineage: Bacteria
Description: partial 16S ribosomal RNA
Rfam family: Bacterial small subunit ribosomal RNA
Source: RNAcentral
GUCCACACCGUAAACGAUGAUUACUAGGUGUUGGAGGAUUGACCCCUUCAGUGCCGCAGUUAACACAAUAAGUAAUCCACCUGGGGAGUACGACCGCAAGGUUGAAACUCAAAGGAAUUGACGGGGGCCCGCACAAGCAGUGGAGUAUGUGGUUUAAUUCGACGCAACGCGAAGAACCUUACCAAGUCUUGACAUCCCUUGACGAUGCUGGAAACAGCAUUUCUCUUCGGAGCAAGGAGACAGGUGGUGCAUGGUUGUCGU